UUUUCUGAAUACAUUUUUAUAUUAUAUUAUUUGGAUGUACUACACUAGAUGAUUAGAAUUACUAUAUUUUGUAUUUUAUCAAAAGAAGAAAUGAGGCUAAGAAAGCAGUUUACUUGAAGUAAUGCUGAAUUUCUUCCUCAUGAAUGAGAACAGCUUAUAAAAAUGACUGAAAGGGGCCCUAGAAAACAGUGGCUGGAAAAACCUUAUUGUUUUAAGUGUAGCUGAGGGAAGGGCCCCGUGCAUCAGCUUGCAUAGCACUUUAGAAAUAGUAUUUCAUUAUUAAAUAUUAAGUUUUCUAAUUAACCCUUGCUUAGAUAGGGUAUUACUGCUGUGAACAGACACCAUGACCAAGGCAACUCAUAUUAAAGAACAACAUUUAGUUGGGGCUGGCUUACAGGUUCAGAGGUUCAGUCCAUUAUCAUCAGGGUGGGAGCAUGGGGGAGGAGCUGAGAGUUCUGCAUCUCAUUCCCAAGGCAAACAGGAGAGGACUGACAUGGCCACAGUGACACACCUACUCCAGCAAGGCCACACCUCCUAAUAGUGCCCCACUCCCUGGGACAAGCAUAUACAAACCAUCCCCACCCUUGAAUGCAAAAACUAACUGUAGUAAUUCUGUGACACUGGUUUAUUCAAUGAGGAAGUCUUCCUUGGUGAGAUAGACUUCUCUAUACCUGAUGAGGAACUCUGUGAUGAUUCUAAACCCAUUGUGUACAGGCACUAACCAGUGCUUGUUUGUCAAGGUAAUUACAGCUUGAUAACAUACAUUUCUCUUCACACAGACCUCCAAGUGAGAAAUCUUUCACACUUUUGCUUGUCUUCAACGAGAAAUGUGUACAUACACACAUACAUACAUACAUACAUACAUACAUACAUACAUACAUACAUACGAAUGACCAUAUCUGUCUCAGAGAGCUUCUCCUCUGUUGGAGGUAUUGUACUUGAAAUCAUAAGGCCAGGCUUUGGUGAGGAAGGGUGUCAAGACAUCUAAGGCAUAGCUGAUUAAUGAAGAAUCACACUGUGAGGUCAGAUAACAAGGCUUCAUUCAAUUCAUGGAAAAACUUUAAACUUCUAAUUCUGCCUCUGAUGCCUUUGCAUGCUUUUUUUCUUAACGAAUAUAGUGUUUAUUUUAAGCAGUAAAUUGCUGUUGUCCUUUUAGUUGAGUAUUUGAAGGAAAUGCUGUGUUCCUGGAGUAGAUGAGCAGGACUGUAUAAAUUAUAUUUGUGAUUUAUAGACUAAUUGUUUAAAUUUCAUCUGAGGAGGAAUUUGCCAAAUACAAAAAUAGCAUUUUACUUAACAAUGAAAACUAAUUUGCCUCCCAAAAGUUAAAUAUAUUAUGAUGAAGUAUUUUAAGACGGAUGGCUAUUGCAGUAAUGUAAAGCCAUGUGAGAUCGAGGGCGUAGGGAUUCAUACCUGUAAUCCUAACACUCAAGAGGCAGACUCAAGUAGAAGUGCAUGAGUUUAACACUAACUUGGUAGCUAACUUCUGCUACUGAGAAGAUAGACUAGAUUAACUUUCCCUGCUGCCGUGUACAAGACAAAGCCCAAAGUAUCGGGGAGGGGGCCCCUAGAUACAGCAGCUCCUGGAGAGCUCUUAGUAUGCUAUUCUAGGCUGGGGUAUGAUAAAGUGCUUAUCUGACUUAUAUGGGUCCCUGUCCAUAUAUCCAGUACCACUAAGAAAGAAAGGGAGAGGGCUAGACAGAGGGUCUUGGUAAGAUUCUGGCCAGUCUGGCUACACAGUGAGUCCCUACUUCAAAAAAACAGACAAGCAGGGGCUGGAGAGAUGGCUCAGUGUUUAAAAGCACUGGUUGCUCUUUCAGAGGUCCUGAGUUCAGUUCCCAGAACUCACAUGGCAGCCUACAACCAUCUGUAACUAUAGUCCCAUGGGAUCUGAUACCUCUUCUGGUGUACAGAUGUACAUGCAGACAAAACACCCAUAUACAUAAAAUACAUAAAUAAAUAGAUGGGGGAGGGCAAAAAUUCACUGUACCCAGACAAUACAGAAAACAGGGGCCAUAUCCAGUACUAGACUAAUAUUUCCCAGUAUUACUUACAGUAAAGAAAUGGUAACACCACUUCCCAGCUACAGUAUCAACAGAGGAAGCCAUAGAACAGAGGCCUAAAUGCAAUCCAGAGUCUCAUAACUUAGUCCUCAAAAUUCCUUGCAUCAGGUGGAAGAUUCCCGGCACACCUACACCAGGAAGAUCCACUCUGAGUGAGUAAGAGAGGCUGGGUAUGUUGGCCUACACUGGAAUCCUGUGCUGUUUAGUUAAAUAAACCUGAAGCAUGACUACCAAACCUUGUCAAAAGAAUUUUUAGAACUUAAAACUAUAAUAAUUGAAAUUAGUAAGUCUGAUACAGGUGUGACUGAGAAAAGAAAUAGCAAUUGGCCUGAUGAUACAAUAGAAGCUGGAGCUGGGGAGAUGGCUCAGGGCUUACAAGCACUGGCUGUGUGCUUGUUCCUCCAGAAGACCUGUAUUUAGUUCCCAGCACCUGCAUGGCAGACACCUAACCUUUUAACUACAGUUCCAGGGAGUGCACUGCCCUCUUCUAGCCUUUGUAGACAAUGUAUGCACAUGUAAAUGCAUAUAAGUAGGUAAAGUAUCUAUACAUAACCUAAAAUUAAAUUAAAUCCUUUUUUUAACAUUUAAGACAAUAGAAACUACUCAGUUUAAACUACAGUGAUAGACUAGAGAUGUGGCUUAGUGAUAUAGCAUUCUAGUAUGGAUUAAACCCUAGAUUUGAUACCUAGCAUCCCCCAAAAAUAAAUUUUAAAGCAGAUUCUGAAGUACAGGGAAAAAAUAACAUGGGAGAAAGAAUGAAUAGUACCAAAUAGACUCGUGGGACCAUAACCAAGGUCGUUAUGUAUCAUUAAUCCUAGAAGAAGAAGGGAAAAAUACGCUUCUUAAAUAUUUAAAACAAAUAAACAAAAACAUGACUGAUUAUAAGGAUCAGGGGCAGGUUAUAUACAGAUUCUAACCAAGCCAACCCAAGCAGAAUAAUACCAGAUAAAUCCAUAACAAAGAAAGCUCUGUAUGGUCAAAUUUCUGCAAGUGAAAGAAAAAGAAAACGUAAACCCCAGUUGGGUUGAAGUGUGGGACAGCAAUUCAGGUCCAGGUGACAGCUCUCUCAUCAAACAUCAUAAGACAGGCUGGAGGUGGCCCUGUGGUUAAGAGCACUUGUGCUCUUGCAGAGGACUAGGUUCAGUUUGCAGCAUUUAUGUAGCAGUUCACAGUCAUUUGUAACUCCAGGUCCAGGGGAUUCCUACGCCCUUAUCUGGCCUCCAUGAGCAUUGCGCAUAUGGGUGCACAUACAUAUAUACAGGCAAAACAUUCACAUAAGAAUAUUUUCACAAGAAACCAUGGGAACCAGAAGAAAAUGACACAUUUUUCAAGAGCUGAAAGUAAACAAUUACUCACCUAGAAUCCUGUACCUACAACAAUGUCUUUCAGGAAGGAAGGGAGACUCAAGGCAUUGUCAGAUAAAUACAUCUGUCAACUGCAGAUCUACCAUAGAAGAAUGUCUAUAGGAAAUGAAAUGAUUAGAAAAUGGGGG
Molecule: long non-coding RNA, 3552 nt
Filed under: Mus musculus (house mouse)
Lineage: Eukaryota; Metazoa; Chordata; Mammalia; Rodentia; Muridae
Description: long non-coding RNA chr4:8582775-8586327
Source: RNAcentral